This 429-nucleotide ribosomal RNA is filed under the name uncultured Veillonella sp. RNAcentral's name for it is "bacterial SSU rRNA". It matches the Rfam family "Bacterial small subunit ribosomal RNA", at positions 355 to 776 of the family's 1533-position model. The record is from RNAcentral. Lineage: Bacteria; Bacillati; Bacillota; Negativicutes; Veillonellales; Veillonellaceae.
UGGGGAAUCUUCCGCAAUGGACGAAAGUCUGACGGAGCAACGCCGCGUGAGUGAUGACGGCCUUCGGGUUGUAAAGCUCUGUUAAUCGGGACGAAAGGCCUUCUUGCGAACAGUUAGAAGGAUUGACGGUACCGGAAUAGAAAGCCACGGCUAACUACGUGCCAGCAGCCGCGGUAAUACGUAGGUGGCAAGCGUUGUCCGGAAUUAUUGGGCGUAAAGCGCGCGCAGGCGGAUCAGUCAGUCUGUCUUAAAAGUUCGGGGCUUAACCCCGUGAUGGGAUGGAAACUGCUGAUCUAGAGUAUCGGAGAGGAAAGUGGAAUUCCUAGUGUAGCGGUGAAAUGCGUAGAUAUUAGGAAGAACACCAGUGGCGAAGGCGACUUUCUGGACGAAAACUGACGCUGAGGCGCGAAAGCCAGGGGAGCGAACGGG